This 519-nucleotide ribosomal RNA is filed under the name uncultured eukaryote. Its description in RNAcentral is "SSU rRNA". It matches the Rfam family "Eukaryotic small subunit ribosomal RNA", at positions 1161 to 1703 of the family's 1831-position model. The record is from RNAcentral.
AGGGCACCACCAGGAGUGGAGCCUGCGGCUUAAUUUGACUCAACACGGGGAAACUCACCCGGCCCGGACACCGUAAGGAUUGACAGAUUGAUAGCUUUUUCAUGAUUCGGUGGAUGGUGGUGCAUGGCCGUUCUUAGUUCGUGGAGCGAUUUGUCUGGUUUAUUCCGAUAACGAGCGAGACUCUGGCCUACUAAAUAGUUGACGCAUUGCCACUGUGCGCACAACUUCUUAGAGGGAUUUUCGGUGUUCAACCGCACGAAAUUGAGCAAUAACAGGUCUGUGAUGCCCUUAGAUGUCCGGGGCUGCACGCGCGCUACACUGGCAGAAUCAACGUGCCUGUCCUCCCCCGAAAGGGGUUGGUAAACCGAUGAAAAUUUGCCGUGAUUGGGAUCGGACAUUGCAACUAUAUGUCCGUGAAACGAGGAAUUCCUUGUAGGGGCGAGUCAUCAACUCGCCCCGAAUACGUCCCUGCCCUUUGUACACACCGCCCGUGGCUGUCUGGGACUGAGACAUUUUCGA